Molecule: non-coding RNA, 3348 nt
Organism: Salmo salar (Atlantic salmon)
Lineage: Eukaryota; Metazoa; Chordata; Actinopteri; Salmoniformes; Salmonidae
Source: RefSeq, a predicted model, not a curated record
UCUGGUUAGGUUGUUAAGAUAUUAAGUAGCUAGAUACAGCUAGUUGCUUAAGUACUUGCUCUGGCAAGUAACAAAUUGGCUACAUAGCUAAACCAGAGUUAGCUAAGUAAUCUAGCUAACGCUAGCUAUCUUGCAAGCAAGUCACAGCUUUCUCAUUACUGCAAGUGCUACUGCAAUUAUGAUGCUGCUGCAAGUCUGUGUUUUUGUCUUUUUGCUUCUUUCAGCCUUAUCUUGCUACAGCUAAAUACUAUAUCCCCUAACUUUCUAUUCUGUAUGUUCUCUCCUUGUUAGCCACCAAGGAUGCAAAUGUAACUCUGUUAACUACUGUUAUGAACAGCAUAAUAUUGAUUCAUGAGAGAUAUAACAAGCUAGACCUAGUAGAUAUAGCUAGCUAGCUAAAUUGAAUAUAAUAUCAUGUUCUCAAUUUCCCCCCAGCAUCUCAGAGUCUAAGUUCUUCAGAUAGCUAUGUUCUUUACCUUCACACUCACUUUUGUAAUGCCCACAACUUGCAAGAAUUCAGUAGUUUGCAAAUGUGUCUAUGAUCACAAUUGAUUACAUUUGUUCAUUAAGUUGAAUUGUUGAUUUGGUUCAAGUUUGCCCAAAAGAAAGGAGGCAAGCUCAGAUAGGCUGAAAAGGACCAACUUCAGAAAGAGGAGGAUGAGAGAAGACAAAAGGAAGAGGGGGCUCGACUCCUGGCUGAGAAAGAGGAGCAAGAGAGGCUGGAGCUAAAAGUAUUACCAUCACUGACCUUUAUCGUUCAUGGUUAUCAGUGUGUUUGUGUACAGAGAGGGCUCUUGAAGUUAAACCUGUUCAUAAUGUCCUAAUGAAAAAGAGUGAUCAUUGCUGGCUUUCUGUGACAGCACAAAGUUCGCAGAGAGGACGACCUGAAUCAAGUGCGUCAUCUACUGGAAGAGAACCAGAUUGCAGUCACCAAGUGGGUGACUGACUCCAGAGCAAAAGCCAAGUGAGACAGGUACAUGCGUUGUGACGGGAGUCCAGACCCGUCAGUCCAGCAGGCGAUCAACACCUUCAUCAACAUGUGGUGGGAGGACCCAGAAGUCCAGAUCAAACCGGUUCUAAAGGAGUGUGCCCUGGCUCUACGGCUGCUAGAGGAGCUGGAGGGUAUGCUGGAGGGUAUGCUGAGGGACCAGCCUGAACCAGCUGAUGCCCUGAGGUACCAGGAGACCCAGCUCUCCAUCGACUCUCAUUCAAUACAAACAUGACCACAGCACUGAGGAGAUACUCAAGUGCUCACUCGGACGUUGAGACGGGGAACAUGCAGACAGUGGUCCAGGAUGACAACAUCACACUGUGUCUGUGGGCCAACCUUAACAAGAACCCAAGGCACGUCACAGACGUUUAAAGGGUUCCAGUUCGAGGAGGUGGGGCUGGGCUUUAAGCUGCCCAAACAGCUGGCUGUCAGUGAUAUCGCUGUGAGAAUCCUCCACACCCACCACAACCACUUGUCUCACCUGGCCAACCUGAAAAGCCAGACCCCCAGCAGGAUGUCUCUGGGCCUGGGGGCCAGUGAGGAGCCCCCUUCUGGAGGGAGCGACCCCCGCGGGGGGAGACGGUGACAGGAGAGGGAGCACACAGCAGGGAGGUGCAGAGGAAGAGGUGCAGUCUGUCAGAGGGUCCAAAGGCAGGAAGAGUGCGGUGAGUGUGAUGUCUAUGGAGGAGGAGGAGAGGAGGCGUGGUCAGAAGCAGCUGGAGGAUGUGCAACAGAAGCUGGAGGAGAAAGGGAGUCAGAUACCAUGCUAGUCGGACAUGACUCAGGUGAGGGAGACUCCUCCCCUACCCCGAUGGACCCAGUGAUUGACAGCUAUGAGGGUCAGGUGGUUGACCUGCAGCAGUACACACCCCUGGGAGGAGUCUUCUACUGCGAUGUGUUCCGUCUGCCGCCACAGUCCCAACAACUCAACGGAUGGGAGAUGAGAGAGCUGUUGGACACAGGGUUGCAGCCGUUCCCCUACCCCACGGAGCAGUCCCAGAUCCAGGGCUCUGCCUCCAUGAAGCUGGAGGACAGUGGGGUCCUGACCUGUCCCCCUGUAGGGGUCACAGUCACCCUGCCUGACUCUGUCCUGUUCCUGGAGGACCCACAGGUUGCCCACUGGGACCCUGAAGUUCAGCACUGGAAGACAGACUGCAUCAGUGAGACGUACGACAAGGCAGAGCGGAAGAUCUCGUUCAAGAUGGAUUCGUUCUACAGGACUCGUAUGCCAACAUGCCGUUCCACAGCUGGGAGCUCAGACCACUGGGCCAGGUCUCUGCCCUGCUCACCAUCACGGCAAGAACUCACAAUCUGUCAUGCUCCGUCUCCUCCAUAAACUCAGGGUGCGGCAGCAAGUUUAUGCUCCAGUCAGACCAGGAGAGAGGACUGAACCACAUCCUGGGCCAGUGGAUGAGUCCUUCUGGACUGCAGAAAGCCAUGGUCAGCGCCGGGGUCACAUCUUCGUCAACCAAUACUCUGACAAAUGUGUCAGCGUAAAUGCAAAGGACCCUCUGAUAGAACACGCGGUGUAUGAACAGAUGGCGCUGCUCUCCUCUGCCUUCUCCUGGAGCCAGUGGAACACAGUGUGGCCAGGAGCAUCUGGUGCUGCAGGUGUGUGAGCACCUAGACCCAGUCCGAGAGGACUUGUGGUGCGUGUACCUACUGGGGGCUCGGAGGUGGCUGAGGAGCAAGGAACACAGGGAGGCAUUCUCUCCAGAGCUGGACCCCGGCAGCAAGUUCCACUCUACCUUCCUGCACAUGCUCCGAGACCGCAUGUCCCGCGCCGGACAGGUGCGACGCUCUCACCACCUGUUCGUCGAUGCCGUGCAGACUGCUGUGUGCCACACGGCCUCUCACAUACUCCUGACUACAGUAGAUACUAGACCCCCAAGCUCUAUGUAGGAGUAGGCAACAACCACAGAUCUAGGAUCAGAUUUGACUAUUCCCAAUCAUAACUUUAAUCAGUAGGGGGAAUAUAUAUUUAUCUGAUCUUGUAUCAGAGGUUAGAGGCAACUUCAACCUACUCUGUGCAGAACACCGUGGGUAUGACAGACUGCUCACUGUGAACUUUAACCCUUACAACAGAUGGACCCUCAUGUAAAACCACAAAGCUUAUUUGUGUAGAAUAAAGUUCCUUUAUUGUGUAAAGUUUGACUCCCCCUCUUUGGAACAUACAAAAGUGGAUUAAUUUCAUAAGUGAGCACUUAAAGAAGUAGAGUAAAAACCAUUUGUUUGAGUUUGUAACAAAACGCUGGUUAUAAACAAAAACAGAUGCAGUAUAAUAGAUAUUCAUAUCCCCACACAGUGUAAUGCUGUCAAACGAUAAAUUAAACAUAAAAAUGGCAGUGUAUUACCAA